UGAGAUCUCUAUCCUGUACAACAUAUGUUCUUAGUAGAUUUUCUGGUGAUCAUGGUGAUUAGCUUAACUCUGAUGGUUCGAUAUAGUGAGUGUGAGCAAGGUGAUUUAUUAUCCCUGUGUAGUGACAGUAUGCAGUGGGAAAAAGGCCGAGUGAGCACGUAACUAUUGUGAUAGCUAGUGAGGGUAGCACCCAUCUAUGUAGUAGAUGCAUAUUCUUGUGAACCUAGAUCCUAGAGAGGGAACACUUAUAUCUAUCUCUAUCUCCUAUCUUAUGUUAACCUUUGCUAUAUUGUCUCAAUCUUUGUUAUUAGUUUAGUUUAUCUCUCUACACAAUACAUACACUCAAUUUUGUUAGGAAGAUUGGUAUAAAGUGAGAGCUAGCAAUCCACUUUUUUCACGAAUUGAUAAACCUUGGUGGAAUACUCUAAGGGAAAAGAUACAACUGAUCCGUGCACUUGCGGUUCAUGAAUUGGCGUGCUAACUACCGUCAACAAUGGGUCACAACAAAUCGCUCGGCUCCAAAUCCGUCAGGACUCCUCCUAGAGCUUUCUCCUCUUCAUUAGGGUGACAUACGACGUCACUCUAGGAGACAAUGCUAUGGUGGUGAGAGGAAGAGGCGAGCUACCAGACUAGGAAUUUUUUUGGUAGUUUCAAGAAUGAAGAAGUAGCUUACUCGACAAGGGCUGGCAAGGAGGGUAAUAAUAUAAAGUGGCAUCGCCCUCAUUAACAACUGGCCCCCAUCAAGUUUGAUGGAUUGUUUCAUCACGCUAUUUCCAAGAGUGCCACAUCAUCUUUAUAUGUUUAGGUUGAUUAAUGAUACAAAUACACAAUUUCAUUUCACAGUUUCAUAUGCAAUUAGCAUUUAAAGCAGUGCAUUGUAUUCAGAUCAAAUGUGCCCAUGAAUUAUGUGGCCUCUCACAAAAAGCAUGGGAAUACACAAAUAUGACGUUAAUAUGGGAAAGUCUGGUCUAGAAACCAACGGUUAUAUAAGAAGAUCCGUUGUAUACAAACAUACACAUGCAGUUACUCAGGAAAGUCCUUUGUGCAAAAUAUCAAGAUACUGGAACUUGGACCAACCGCUUCCAUUCCCUCAUCAAUACUCUUUCUUGGAACUACAAACAUUCUAGUCCAUAACUUCUCCCUCUGCUAUGCGUCUACCUCUUCUCCAUCUUCUCCCUCUGCUCUGCAUCUUCUACCUUUUUCUUUGGCUAUCCAUUCAAUCUCUC
Molecule: long non-coding RNA, 1226 nt
Filed under: Setaria viridis
Lineage: Eukaryota; Viridiplantae; Streptophyta; Magnoliopsida; Poales; Poaceae
Description: long non-coding RNA (SVIR_LNC009720)
Source: RNAcentral